ACCCGAAAAUGCCAAGGCGAACGUGAUAACCACUACACUACGGAAACGCCCGGGGGCGGCAGCCUUUCGCCGGGCAGGAUGGAACCGCAUUCUCCUUUCCCGGGCGCCCCCAAAUCCAACAAUUUGGAAUGAUUUUUCUUCUAGUGUAUUUUCAGUCACGCUGCAUUUCUUUCCCUCCCACUGUUCGUUUGUUAAAACAACGUUCUAGGAACUUCAUGACUCACAACCAAAC
Molecule: non-coding RNA, 232 nt
Organism: Equus caballus (horse)
Lineage: Eukaryota; Metazoa; Chordata; Mammalia; Perissodactyla; Equidae
Source: RefSeq, a predicted model, not a curated record